This 1000-nucleotide ribosomal RNA is filed under the name Bacillus sp. (in: firmicutes). Its description in RNAcentral is "bacterial SSU rRNA". It matches the Rfam family "Bacterial small subunit ribosomal RNA", at positions 86 to 1072 of the family's 1533-position model. Lineage: Bacteria; Bacillati; Bacillota; Bacilli; Caryophanales; Bacillaceae. The record is from RNAcentral.
GGAUGUUAGCAGGCGGACGGGUGAGUAACACGUGGGUAACCUGCCUGUAAGACUGGGAUAACUCCGGGAAACCGGAGCUAAUACCGGAUAGUUCCUUGAACCGCAUGGUUCAAGGAUGAAAGACGGUUUCGGCUGUCACUUACAGAUGGACCCGCGGCGCAUUAGCUAGUUGGUGGGGUAAUGGCUCACCAAGGCGACGAUGCGUAGCCGACCUGAGAGGGUGAUCGGCCACACUGGGACUGAGACACGGCCCAGACUCCUACGGGAGGCAGCAGUAGGGAAUCUUCCGCAAUGGACGAAAGUCUGACGGAGCAACGCCGCGUGAGUGAUGAAGGUUUUCGGAUCGUAAAGCUCUGUUGUUAGGGAAGAACAAGUGCGAGAGUAACUGCUCGCACCUUGACGGUACCUAACCAGAAAGCCACGGCUAACUACGUGCCAGCAGCCGCGGUAAUACGUAGGUGGCAAGCGUUGUCCGGAAUUAUUGGGCGUAAAGGGCUCGCAGGCGGUUUCUUAAGUCUGAUGUGAAAGCCCCCGGCUCAACCGGGGAGGGUCAUUGGAAACUGGGAAACUUGAGUGCAGAAGAGGAGAGUGGAAUUCCACGUGUAGCGGUGAAAUGCGUAGAGAUGUGGAGGAACACCAGUGGCGAAGGCGACUCUCUGGUCUGUAACUGACGCUGAGGAGCGAAAGCGUGGGGAGCGAACAGGAUUAGAUACCCUGGUAGUCCACGCCGUAAACGAUGAGUGCUAAGUGUUAGGGGGUUUCCGCCCCUUAGUGCUGCAGCUAACGCAUUAAGCACUCCGCCUGGGGAGUACGGUCGCAAGACUGAAACUCAAAGGAAUUGACGGGGGCCCGCACAAGCGGUGGAGCAUGUGGUUUAAUUCGAAGCAACGCGAAGAACCUUACCAGGUCUUGACAUCCUCUGACAACCCUAGAGAUAGGGCUUUCCCUUCGGGGACAGAGUGACAGGUGGUGCAUGGUGUCGUCAGCUCGUGUCGUGAGA